UGGGGAAUUUUGCACAAUGGGGGAAACCCUGAUGCAGCGACGCCGCGUGAUUUAGAAGGCCUUCGGGUUGUAAAAAUCUUUUCUAUGGGAAGAAAAUGACAGUACCAUAGGAAUAAGGACCGGCUAAUUACGUGCCAGCAGCCGCGGUAAUACGUAAGGUCCGAGCGUUGCCCGGAAUCAUUGGGCGUAAAGGGUACGUAGGCGGGUAAGCAAGUUAGAAGUGAAAUCCUAUAGCUCAACUAUAGUAAGCUUUUAAAACUGCUCAUCUUGAGGUAUGGAAGGGAAAGUGGAAUUCCUAGUGUAGCGGUGAAAUGCGCAGAUAUUAGGAGGAAUACCGGUGGCGAAGGCGACUUUCUGGCCAUAACCUGACGCUGAGGUACGAAAGCGUGGGUAGCAAACAGG
Molecule: ribosomal RNA, 402 nt
Filed under: bacterium
Lineage: Bacteria
Description: partial 16S ribosomal RNA
Rfam family: Bacterial small subunit ribosomal RNA
Source: RNAcentral